GAGAAAUCACCAACGAGGUGCAGGAUGCGGGCUUCUGAUUCAUCCCCACAAAUCGGCAUGGCAUAGGAAGUCUGGGUCUAGUGCCCUGGCAUGGGGCUGGUGGCAGAGGAAAGGGGCUAGAAAUCCAGGUCUUCCGUGAUUAACAAGAAUCCCCCUGGAUGCUGUCAGGAACUGAAGCCAGGGGAUGUCCCAUACUGUCAAGCUGUGGAUGGUCCCCAGCUGAGCACGGCACUGCAGAGACCAGGCUGUAGUCCCUGCCAGCAGGCAGGGAGUUUAACCCCAACCCAGCACCCCCAGCUUGUCUGGGCUCA
Molecule: long non-coding RNA, 311 nt
Organism: Catharus ustulatus (Swainson's thrush)
Lineage: Eukaryota; Metazoa; Chordata; Aves; Passeriformes; Turdidae
Exons: 3
Source: RefSeq, a predicted model, not a curated record